Molecule: ribosomal RNA, 332 nt
Filed under: uncultured Pseudomonas sp.
Lineage: Bacteria; Pseudomonadati; Pseudomonadota; Gammaproteobacteria; Pseudomonadales; Pseudomonadaceae
Description: bacterial SSU rRNA
Rfam family: Bacterial small subunit ribosomal RNA
Source: RNAcentral
GUCGUCAGCUCGUGUCGUGAGAUGUUGGGUUAAGUCCGUAACGAGCGCAACCCUUGUCCUUAGUUACCAGCACGUUAUGGUGGGCACUCUAAGGAGACUGCCGGUGGCAAACCGGAGGAAGGUGGGGGAUGACGUCAAGUCAUCAUGGCCCUUACGGCCUGGGCUACACACGUGCUACAAUGGUCGGUACAAAGGGUUGCCAAGCCGCGAGGUGGAGCUAAUCCCAUAAAACCGAUCGUAGUCCGGAUCGCAGUCUGCAACUCGACUGCGUGAAGUCGGAAUCGCUAGUAAUCGUGAAUCAGAAUGUCACGGUGAAUACGUUCCCGGGCCUU